CUAAGGAUAAUAAAUAAAAAUCAUCAUCUUCAGUUUUGAAAGACUUAGAUUGGUAAGUUUUUCUUUUUUAAGCUCCAAAAGGGCCUAUAGCUCAGUUGGUUAGAGCACACGCCUGAUAAGCGUGAGGUCGGUGGUUCAAGUCCAUUUAGGCCCACCAUUUUGAAAAAAGGUCCUGCUUAAAAAAAAGUUCUUUGAAAAGUAGAUAAAUAUAGCUCUAUAAUUCUUAAUAAAAUU
This 234-nucleotide unclassified non-coding RNA is filed under the name Candidatus Phytoplasma australamericanum. RNAcentral's name for it is "Candidatus Phytoplasma sudamericanum 16S-23S ribosomal RNA intergenic spacer". The stretch from base 81 to 154 matches the Rfam family "tRNA". Lineage: Bacteria; Bacillati; Mycoplasmatota; Mollicutes; Acholeplasmatales; Acholeplasmataceae. The record is from RNAcentral.